AGUGACUACCAAGGUAAUUAGACAAAAAAAUGAUGCUCUUUCUACUCUUUGUAGCCCUUCCUAUCAUUCUUAUUUUCCUUCUUCCUAAAGCCAAAAAGGGUGCAAAAAACACACAGCCACCAGGUCCUGUUGGCCUGCCAUUCAUUGGAAAUUUGCAUCAAUUUGAUAGUUUAACCCCUCAUAUCUAUUUUUGGAAACUUUCUAAGAAAUAUGGAAAAAUAUUCUCAUUGAAACUUGGUUCUACUCCAAUGGUCGUAGUUUCUUCAGCAAAAUUAGCAAAAGAAGUGUUGAAGACACAAGAUUUAGUAUAUUGUAGUAGACCCUCUAUUCUUGGCCAGCAAAAAUUGUCUUACAAUGGUCGCGACAUAAUCUUUGCACCUUACAAUGACUAUUGGAGAGAGAUGAGAAAAAUUAGUGUGCUUCAUCUAUUUAGUCUCAAGAAAGUGCAAUUAUAUAAACCAAUUCGUGAAGAUGAAGUAUCAAGAAUGAUCAAGAAAAUAUCUCAACAUGCUGCUUCUUCUCAAAUUACAAAUUUGAGCAAUUUAAUGAUUUCGCUUACAAGUACAAUUAUAUGUAGAUUUGCUUUUGGUGUUAGGUUUGACGAUGAAGCACAUGAAAGGAAGAGAUUUGAUUAUCUAUUGGCUGAAACUCAAGCAAUGAUGGCUAGCUUUUUCGUGUCUGAUAUUUUUCCUAUUUUAGGUUGGAUUGAUAAACUUAAUGGAUUGACAGAUAGACUAGAAAAGAAUUUAAAGAAAUUGGAUGAGUUUUAUGAAGAACUCAUUGAGCAACAUCAAAAUCCCGAUAGGCCAAAAUCCAUGGAAGGAGAUAUCGUUGAUCUUUUGCUUCAAUUGAAGAAAGAGAAAUCAAUACCAAUUGAUCUCACUUUGGAGGACAUAAAAGGACUUCUCAUGGUAAUUUCACAUGUCUUAAUUAACUCAAUACAUUGUUAUUUUAAGAUAAUUCGAUUGUUAUUUUAAUUAAAUUAUUUGCUUGUAUAUAGGAUGUGUUAGUUGCUGGAUCAGAUACUAGUGCGGCUGGGAUAGUAUGGACAAUGACAGCUUUGAUGAAGAAUCCAAAAGCCAUGAAGAAAGUUCAAGAAGAAAUCAGAAAGUCAAUUGGGAACAAAGGCAUUGUGAAUGAAGAUGAUAUACAAAAUAUGCCUUAUUUCAAAGCAGUGAUAAAAGAGGCUUUUAGAUUAUACCCACCAGUUCCACUUCUAGUGCAAAGAGAAUCAAUGAAAAAAUCCACACUAGAAGGAUAUGAAAUUCAGGCCAGAACUAUAGUUCAUGUUAAUUCAUGGGCAAUUGCAAGGGACCCUGAAAUAUGGGAAAAUCCAGAAGAAUUUAUACCUGAGAGAUUUCUGAAUAGCGACAUUGAUUACAAAGGACAAAACUAUGAGCUAAUUCCAUUUGGAGCAGGUCGAAGAGGUUGCCCCGGAAUGACACUUGGGGUUGCAUCCAUGGAACUUGCAUUAUCAAAUCUUCUUUAUGCAUUUGAUUGGGAGUUACCUCACGGGAUGAAAAAAGAGGACAUUGACACAAAUGUUAGGCCUGGAAUUACCAUGCAUAAGAAAAAUGAGCUAUGUCUUAUCCCUAAAAGUUAUUUUUAGAUUUUACUCAUAUGUGAAUCUAAGACGAAUUUUGUAAUAAUAAAUUGUAACGAUUUUAAAUCUUGAAAUCACAUUUCACCCUCCUUCUAUUUUGAUAUUCUUCACCUUAUAACCCCUUUAGUCAUCCACUACUCAGGUUUAUUUUACACUACUCAAUGGACCUUAGUUAAAUUGGUGUAUAUAUAUAUAUAGUUAUAGUUAUGGUUAUAGUUAUUAUAAAAAUGUGUAUCGUAGAUCCAAAUCUUGAAUAAUGAAAUGAAUAUAACUCUUAAAAAGUUUUAAGAAUAAUAUUAUUUAUGAAAUUGUUAUUCUUUAGGCAGAUUCAGUAUGCUUCACUUUUGAGAUGUUUAGGCCAAGAGUACUGUAUAGGGAUUGUACAUUCAUGAGUUGUAGUUCUCAUGGAGUCAUGUGUGGACGUUAUCGCUCAUACAAGUCCCAAUCAAAAAGCAAAUUGCGCCCACAUUGAUAGAAGCUCAUCUGCCCAUGGUUUGAUCAAUUGAAAGACAUCCUCUUGGUGCAAUUACGUAAGUAACAAAAAGAAUUUAUUUUUUGUUUUAUGUUACUCUAGAUGAUUUUUAUACAUAAAAAAACUGAAAUUUAUUUUAAUUAUUGUAAAUGGUCGUAGGAGAUAAUUUAGUACCCCAUAUGUGCACCUUAAUAUAUAUUAAGACAUUUCAAGUGGCCAUUAUUUUGUGAAGCUGGACAACAAAAUGAUGCUCUUUCUACUCUUUGUAGCUUUUCCUAUCAUUGUUAUUUUUCUUCUUCCAAAAGCCAAAAAGAGUGGCAAAAACAAUCUGCCACCAGGUCCUAUAGGCCUCCCAUUCAUUGGAAAUUUGCAUCAAUUUGAUAGUUUAACCCCUCAUAUCUAUUUUUGGAAACUUACCAAAAUAUAUGGAAAAAAUUUCACAUUGAAAUUUGGUUCUACUCCAAUAGUUGUAAUUUCUUCAGCAAAGUUAGCAAAAGAAGUGUUGAAGACACAAGAUUUUAGUAUUUUGUAGUAGACCUUCUCUUCUUGGUCAGCAAAAAUUGUCUUACAAUGGUCAUGAUAUUGGCUUUGCACCUUACAAUGAUCAUUGGAGGGAAAGACGAAAAAUAUGCGUCCUUCAUCUAUUUAGUCUCAAGAAAGUGCAAUCUUUUAGUCCAAUUCGCGAAGAUGAAGUCUCAAGAAUGAUCAAGAAAAUAUAUGAACAAGCUAUUAAUUCUAAGAUCACCAAUUUGAGCAAUUUAAUGAUUUCGCUUACUAGUACAAUUAUUUGUAGAAUUGCUUUCGGUGUUAGGUUUGAUGAAGAAGGACAUGAAAGGAAGAGAUUUGAUUGUCUUUUAGCCGAAGCUCAAGCUAUGUCCGUUAGCUUUUUUGUGUCUGAUUUUUUUCCUUCUUUAAGUUGGAUUGAUAAACUUACUGGAUUGACAAAUAGACUUGAGAAAAUUUUUCAGGAUUUGGAUGAGUUUUACGAAGAACUCAUUGAGCAACAUCAGAAUCCCAACAGGGCAAAAUCCAUGGAAGGAGAUAUUCUUGAUCUUUUGCUACAAUUGAAGAAAGAGCGAUCAACUUCAAUUGAUCUCACUUUGGAUGACAUCAAAGGAAUACUUAUGGUAAUUUUCCGAACCUACCUACUUCUACAUGCAUCUCGCAUACAUGUAUACACAUAUACAUAAUCAUAUGCAUAUAUACAUAUGUGCAUCUGGAUACAUAUACAUAAUGGUGAAAACUGAACGAGUUGAAUCAAAUAUAUAUGGGUGGGUCAUCAUGGGUUAUUGAUCUAACCCAUUCAAAAUUUACUUUAGUCAAAAUGAGUUAGGUAAAGAUAGGUCAAAUGACAUGUCAUAAUUCAAUACGGCCCAACAUGACGACCUUCCAACCUUGUAUAUUUUGCAUUUCUAAAGAAAAAACAAAUGAAAGCUAACUUACCAUUCCUAAAUUGUUUGGUUAAGUUCUUCCAAAUUUAUGUAGGAUGUGUUCGUUGCUGGAUCGGACACUAGCGCGGCCGCAGUAGAAUGGGCAAUGACAGCCUUAAUAAAGAAUCCAAAAAUCAUGAAGAAGGUCCAAAAAGAAAUCAGAGAAACAAUUGGGACCAAAGGCAUUGUGAAUGAAGAUGAUAUCCAAAAUAUGUCUUAUUUCAAAUCAGUAAUAAAAGAGACAUUUAGAUUAUAUCCACCAGCUCCACUCCUAAUACCAAGAGAAACAAUGAAAAAAUCCACACUAGAAGGGUAUGAAAUUCAUCCAGGAACUAUAAUUCAUGUGAACUCUUGGGCAAUUGCGCGAGAUCCUGAAAUAUGGGAGAAUUCAGAAGAAUUUAUACCUGAAAGAUUCUUGAAUAGUGAUAUCGAUUUCAAGGGUCAAAAUUUUGAGUUGAUUCCAUUUGGAGCAGGACGGAGAGGUUGUCCAGGGAUUACACUUGGGGUUGCAUCUAUGGAACUUGCAUUAUCAAAUCUUCUUUAUGCAUUUGAUUGGGAAUUACCUUAUGGGAUGAAAAAAGAGGACAUUGACACAUAUGUUAAGCCUGG
RNAcentral lists this long non-coding RNA (4114 nucleotides) under Solanum tuberosum (potato). RNAcentral's name for it is "long non-coding RNA (STUB_LNC009481)". Lineage: Eukaryota; Viridiplantae; Streptophyta; Magnoliopsida; Solanales; Solanaceae. The record is from RNAcentral.